RNAcentral lists this ribosomal RNA (642 nucleotides) under uncultured eukaryote. Its description in RNAcentral is "SSU rRNA". It matches the Rfam family "Eukaryotic small subunit ribosomal RNA", at positions 613 to 1258 of the family's 1831-position model. The record is from RNAcentral.
UUGCGGUUAAAAAGCUCGUAGUUGGAUUUCUGUCGAGGGCGGGCGGUCCGCACUAUGUGCGUGUAUGCUUGUUCGGUCUUGGCAUCCUCUUGGGGAAUGCUUCUGUGCUUGAUUGCAUGGGGUGGAAUUCAAGACUUUUACUUUGAGGAAAUUAGAGUGUUCACGGCAAGCUACCGCUUUGAUUACAUUAGCAUGGAAUAAUAAUAUAGGGCGUAAGUUCUAUUUUGUUGAUUUCUAGGACAUACGCAAUGAUUAAUAGGGACAAUUGGGGGCAUUCGUAUUAACGCGUCAGAGGUGGAAUUCUUAGAUUGCGUUACGACGAACUACUGCGAAAGCAUUUGCCAAAGAUGUUUUCAUUGAUCAAGAACGAAAGUAUGGGGAUCGAAGACGAUUAGAUACCGUCGUAGUCUAUACCAUAAACUAUGCCAAUUAGAGAUUGGGCGUCGUUCGUUUUAUGACUCGCUCAGCACCUUAUGAGAAAUCAAAAUUUUUGGGUUCCGGGGGGAGUAUGGUCGCAAGGCUGAAACUUAAAGGAAUUGACAGAAGGGCACCACCAGGAGUGGAGCCUGCGGCUUAAUUUGACUCAACACGGGAAAACUUACCAGGUCCAGACAUAGUAAGGAUUGACAGAUUGAUAGCUCU